Molecule: long non-coding RNA, 1846 nt
Organism: Cottoperca gobio
Lineage: Eukaryota; Metazoa; Chordata; Actinopteri; Perciformes; Bovichtidae
Source: Ensembl
UCUCUCCCUGCCGCGUUUAACUUCACCAUCGCAGAACAGCCUGGUAUGUGGCCUCCCACUCCUUACAUCAUACAUUUUAAACCAUUAGAUUGGGUGGAUAAUGAGACAAUGGGCCCCUCGGGACGGACACGCAAAAGGCCCCAUCACCUCUCCUAUAUUGGAUCAAGACACAAAAACUCAUUUUGAGUAUCUUUGUAGUACUUUGUAAUCAUGUGAGUUUUUUUGUUUCUCCCUGGUUGGUACUUGGGGGGGAGGUGGGGCCUUACAGAUUGGGCCCGGCCCGUUCAGUAAUUCAUGCCUGUUAGCCAGGAACUGUGGCUAAAAACUAUGAACUGGGAUUAACUGCACCUUAUUACUGUGGCGUGACAAACAUGUGGUGCUUGUUUGCCAUACUUAGCCUACAUACUUUUUCAUCGCUCACUUCAGCCAAAGCGAGCAGCAUGACCAAAGGCAGAGUGAUUGGCAUCGUCAUGGUGAUCUUCCUGGUGGUAUUCCUGGUGGUAGACGCCACCUGCUGCUACAGAAACCGCUGCGGCCUGCUAAUGUCCAUCGCUGUGAAAAUCUUUGGACAGAAAGUCCCAGGACUGAAAAUGCUUGAAGAAGGAGAGGGAGGCACUAAUGGGAAAAAGCUGCACACUGCUGAUGCAUGAGGCCAGAACCAGGAGAAACGACAAGUAAAACGUGUAAAUGAUGUAUAGAUAAUAGAGAAGAUAUCAACGUCAAUGAUCUCUACAUUGAAUACAGCUGCUAUGGGAAAGGUCAGUCAUUACUGACAGACUGCAGGGUUGCAGAUGUUGUUGAGGUUUGUUAGGUUUGGGCUGUUUCAGACGUCUCUGCUGUUGGAGUGAGAGAACAGCAGGUUGAAAAUCUCCCAGUUUCCAAUUCACAUGAAGACUGACACAGGAUACAGGCAGGAGGUGGUGCCAUUUUGUGUUUUUUGUUCUGUGUGCUCUGAUUUAGAUUAGUUCAGAAGACAAAAUCGCAUUUUACAGGGUAAUCGUGAUGUCUGUGUUUUACAGGGUAAAGUUAUUGGUCUUAGAAAUAAAAGAAUAUUGCUAAAUUUUCUAAAAGUCACAAUAAAUGUUUACCUUCUGCAUUUUGAAUGCUGUACACAGACACAAGGUCUUAUUUUAUUGAAUUGUUUUUCAUUUCUUUAUGAUGUUUUUUGUAUAUUUUGUUUUGUUAUUUACUUUUUAUUAACAUGGCUGCUCUUCUGAUGGUUAUGUAAGAUUAAACUUUAUUUUAGUUUAAAUAACACUAUAUCCUGAUACUGACCAGUAUGUUGAACCAUUUAAAGGGCAUUUCAGCUUAAACUAAACCUAUAUUACCUUAAUGUAAUCACCAUGCACUAAUAUGUAUUGUUUUUAAACCAUACAUGAGAGAUAUUUAUCAUGACAGGCUUUGAACAUGAAGCCAUAUUUGACUUUUUAACCAGCUUUACUGUUAAGCACAUUUUUGUGGAAGAACUUUAUAAAUGGUUGGCAACUAACACUGGCCCCAUAGGGGAGCUGUACUGUAAUUAAAAGCAACUUUUAUUAUGAAAAUAUCCUUUAAAGUACCUGUAAUAAUAGCCAACAUGUAAAACAUAUAUACAGCUAACAAAAUUGACUUAUGCUAAAAGUUAUUUUGUAUUUGUAAUCAUAUUAAUAUUCACGGUAAUUAAACAACAAUAUUUAACAACAGUUAAAUAUUUAACUUGACAUAAGUAUGUUAUGUUUGCAAUUGACCUGAACAUCUUAAUGAAGUGUUUUAAAAUUGUUGUGAUAUUGUAUUGAACACUGUAUAUUGCUGUAGAUACACAUGCUGUUACAUCUUUGCAUUUGAUAAAAACCUGGACUGUACAAAA